This 5922-nucleotide long non-coding RNA is filed under the name Panax ginseng (ginseng). RNAcentral's name for it is "long non-coding RNA (PGIN_LNC003467)". The record is from RNAcentral. Lineage: Eukaryota; Viridiplantae; Streptophyta; Magnoliopsida; Apiales; Araliaceae.
UUGCUAUAAUCGGUCUUGGAGCAAUUGGACUGGCGGUAUGCUCCUGCACUGUUUCCAAUCCUUAAAUCUGGAAAAAAGAAAAUUCACAUUGAUAUAUAAUGGGUUUGCUGAAAAAAACAUAAUGAUUGAUAUCUAAUGGUGUAGGUUGCUGAGGGAGCAAGGCUAUGUGGAGCUAAAAGAAUUAUUGGUGUGGAUGUCAACGAGGACAAACAUGAAUUAAGUAAUGAAUUCCUACUUUAAUUAGUUUUGAAACUAUAUUAUUAUGCUUUGAAGAGGAUUUUUUGAUAUUUUAAGACGAGCAUAUGCUUGUUGUGUUAUGAUACCAUUGAUUGAUGGGCUGUUAAGACAAUCUAUAUGGAACGGCAUGUUGUAAAAUUGGGUGUGUUUAUAUUAACUUUAUAAUGCUUUCUAUUUUUCUCACAUAGGCAAAAAAUUUGGAGUCACUGAUUUCGUCAAUUCUCGAAACUGUGGGGAUAAAACUGUGAGCCAGGUACAUUAAAUUAACCAUGAACUUUUGGAGUAUAAUCUUUCCACUCGUCUCUUCAUCCCUAUUAUAUUCUGAGAAAGAAUGCACUCCAUGAAAACAUAAUCUAUAUAUGCUGUAACGUCUAUAUGACUUAUUUGUCCAAUUAGUACAACAUUUGAAAUGAAGUAUAAACAAAAGUUUUAGUUUAGUGUAUUUUCUAUAAAUUUAUUUGUAUCCAUUGCUGGGUAAGUAGAUAUGAAGUUCCUGGCUUGAGCUUAUGCCUCAUAUUGAUCUUGUUAUUUUUUAAAACAUAUUAGUGCUUGUUUAUUAAGUAGAACAUGAAUCUAUAACAUGUGAGGCAGUCAUGGUCUUUGCAUUUGAUAUCGUCACUGGUCCCCUGAAGCUACGAGAAUUUUUUCUCUUUUUUUUUGGUGAGCUUGUUUACAAUAUGGGUGGGGAAACACUACAAGAAAAAAGGUUAUUUCCGACUUAUUUCUAACGGAAAUUUCUGUUGGGAAUUCGGUCAGAAUAAAGCUUAACGGAAUUAAUUCGGUCGAAAAAUUCAUCGGAAAUAAAAGUUAUUUCCGAAUUCCGUCGGAAAUAACUUUUAUUUAAAAAAAAAUUAAAAAUCAAAAUGAGAAAGCAUUAUAAGAAUGAGAGUUCAAUUAGACUGCAGAGAUUUAAUCUCUUCAAAUCCAUAAUUAUACACAUUAUAAUAAUGAGAGUUAGUCCUUCUGUAUUGAAUCAAUAAGCUAAAUCUGAAAGACAGCAACAAGCUGAAAUUGAGAGGAUGGUUUUAUCACUUUACAGAAAAUAAUUAAUAACAAAUUUUAAGUACUCCUUGACCAAUAUCUGCCCACCCUUAGUGAAGGUAUGUAGGUUGAACUUUUGCAAAAAAAAAAUCAGCUACAGUCUGAGAAUUCAAUGGUAUGUUUUGCUGCAUAGAUAGGAAACAUGAGAAAUUGGGAGGAAGUAUAGAUUGGAACAUAAUAUAUAUCUACCAUAUGUAUUUAACUAUAGAAAACAGUAGAAGAGAAUAAACUAAAAAUUAAGAGCUUAGGGACUGUUUGAUAAAAAUUGAAUGAAAUAGUUCUGAAUCUGAAUGAAACUGAAUACUGAAGGAAAAAAGUUGUUUGAUAAUUGGCAUGUCUAAAACAUCUUAUUUUUAUUAUUUUUUCCUAUGAAAAAAAUUCAAAAUUGUUGUAAAUAUAUUUAAUAUAAUAGUUAAUAUUGUAAAAAAAAAAUACUUCAUUCAGCAACCCAUUCAACAAAAAAAAUGACACUAAACCAUUUAGCCCAAAUCGUCUGAAUGACUGAUCGAUUCAACCAGUCAGAAGAUUUUUUUUCAAAAAAAACGCUCAUUCAGUGCUAAUCAAACAACCCGUUAGACUUGUUUAUUCUCUGCAUUUGUAAGGAAGCUAUAGUAGCUCAGGCUCAACUUAACUUGGCCUUUUUUUUUAAUUAGUUACAAGUAAAGAAGAAAAUCGCCAUAGGGGUUUAAAUUAGCUUUUCAUUUUUUAUAGAUCAAGUAGUUGUAAAACUCAAGAAUCAUGAACUCUGAUAGCUAGGCAAGCUAAUGAAUAUAACACUGACAAUUUGGUUUCACUGAGAUAUACUUUUGGUUUUUGUAAAGAAGAAUAUCUACUUAAAGAAUAACUUAACCUCCUUUUCCUUUUAAUCUCAAAUUCUCUUGGCAAAAUACUAGAGACUCAAUUUCAUUCUAAGGAAUUGAAUCAGAAACACAGAAUUUAAGAACCUAUUAUGAAAAUUCAAAUUUUCAUUUUCCUUUCUCAUUAAUCACUUAUCAUAUUCACGUAGUAUGAUGUAUCAACCAAAAACACACCAAAUGAAGCAUAGAAACAAUAAAUCAAGCAGAUAAAGUGUCAAAGGAGCUCACCUCAUUGACGAAGUUGAGAACAAUUCAUGCAAAUUUUAGAAGGAUGAAGUUAAAUUAUGUAAUUGAAAUUGUUAAGUGUAUCGCUAGAAGUAGUAAUUGUUAGGUUUGCAAGAUUCAUGAACACAAUCAAAUUGCACAAAAUAAGCGGAAGCAUGGAAAAUCAGAGUUUUAAAUAUUUUACAAACCAUAUACCCGGAUCUUCCUUUAUGCACAAUUAUUAAUUAAACGAAAAAAAUGAAGAACAAGAGUUUCCUCAGGUACAAGUUCACCUCCAAUCUUUUUCGCGUUCAACUUGAAUCCACCUGGUUUGAUUCCUUCCUUUAAUCAACGUUAGCCACCCAAGUGUUUGGCCUCUAGAGGUGAUUCACCAAGGAAGAAGAAAAAUUCAAUAAGAUGGGUGUUUGGCAAAAUCUUAGUUUUUCUGUCUCUCAUAGAAAAUGUGUACUCUCCCAACUCUUGGAAUUACGUCCGUUGUGAAAGCGUACCCUCACCCAUAAUAAGACUUCUCUUAUUUAUAGAUGUAGGCAUCCCUCCUUAACAAUUAAGGAAUUGAGUUUUAUUUUAAUUAAUUAAAGUUCUUUAAUUAAUUAGGCUCCCAAUCUUAUUAGGAAUAAUUAAUUAAACUCUUUUAAUAAAUUAGCCUCAUAAUCUUAUUAGGAAUAUAUGAGAGUACAUUUAUUAAUUAAUUCCCAAACUCUUUUAGGAAUUAAAUAAUAAUAAUAGUAAUAAUAAUAAUAAGACUCCUCUUAUUAAUUUAUUUUUAAUAUUUCUAAAAUAUUAAAUAAUAAAUAUUAAGCUAUUUAAUUUAUUCUAUCACCAUAGAUUAAAUUAAAUACACUUAACUUAUUAUUACGAUUAUGUUAUUUACUUCUUAAAUAAAUAUUCUUCCUUUAAUGGUGUGACCCUUUAGGUUCUCCAUAUUAAACCGGUUGUGAAUAAAUCAAUUAGAACAAUUCUAAUCUUAUUUAAAUAAAUAAAUUAAACUAUUAAUUUAUUUAAAUAAAUAAUAUUUAUUCUACAAUAGGGAUAAGCCUCCCUAGCGAUUAACGACUUUCCAGAUAAUAUAGAUUUCAACAUUAAUCAUAAAAGAACCUUUGAGUAAAUAGUUACCGUACAAUUCAAUCCUUCCACCAUACAAUGUCCCAAUUAAAUAUAAGACAUGGAAUUACUGUCAAGUCUUAUUUUAUUUAAUUAUAUGUAUUUCGAUUCUUAAAUGCAUAACUCCAAAUAAUCCAAAUUAAAAACUCCUUUCUAAUUUUAUUCUGCCUUGGUCAAGGAUUACUGGGUUGUCAUUUAUCGAAUCACAUAUGACAUUUCUCUUCUUUUACUAGAAGCGGUAGAUUUUUUAUUGAUCAUACAUUAUCUCCAUGUACAACUUAUUAUACCCAAGCAUACCCUUUGAUAUAUCCUAAGGGUCUUAAGGAAUAAGUCAAAGUAUAAUUCAUCAUACACAAGAUAUUAUAAUGAUCUCAAAUCCAAUAAUCACUUGUACUACUAUCACUACAGGAAUUCCUAUUGAUAGGCAAGUAAAACUCCAUUAGAUAUUCCUUAGCGAGCUACGUUCAGUGUACUUAUUCUCCAAUAAGCACCUACAUACUUGUUUUAGUGUCUCCACACAAAUGAUCAUGAGAUCAAUCAUCCUCAUCCAAUAAGCAAGCAACGUAUGUACCAAUCUAUCCGGAUUCACUAAUUCCCAAUUUAGUAAUUCAAACGACUGAGAACUAUUUUAGUUUUUAAGUUUUCUAAGAAUUUAGAUCUUAUUAGAAUGAUCAUUAUCAUUAUUCUAAAAGCAUUGCUUCAAACUAUGAAUUUAUCACAUAUUAUAAAGCAACAUCAUGUAGAUAAUUAAAAACCUUUAAUAAAUUAAUACUUUUUAUUAAUAAAUGAAUAAGAUUGUUACAAAGUAUAUGCUUUAUCAUCAAACAUGGCUUGUGUGCAUACUACUUUCAGUAAUAAGCCUAUAGAAUCAGAUAGAGAAAGAGGGGGACAUAACUUGAUAAAUUAAGGACAGUUUGACCAGCCAACAAGUUGCAGCGAAAUAAUCCUUCAAUUGAUGAUAAAGUAUUAAAUUCAAAAGGUGCAAAUAAAGAUUCAUAAAGAUAAAGUGUAAUAUCUAAUGUAACAUGUAUCUCCUAUAGCUUUGUUGCCUACAAUGAGAAAACAUUUAGCCUCACACCUUAUGCUGAGCAGCUGGCUGGUGUAAUUGCUGAUUGCCCCUGCGACACACCUUCCACUUACGCCAUCAUGACAUUGAUGCAAAUGAGUUAACUGUAUUAAGUUUGACAAUUAAAAAUAACAUUCAUGAAAAGUGGAACACACAUUAAAACUGCAUGAGAACGAAAUUAAACAAUAAAUUAAUGUAUGAACACCCAAAUUAACGUCACAAAUUAAUGUCUGAACACCCAAAUUAAACAAUCUACAAAUCAACGAAUUAUUACUUCUUAUUAACCACACACUAUCAAAUAAAGCUUAAAUUUGUAUACAUGAGCAGACAAGUAAUUUACCUGAUCAACAACUAUAGGCAGAGAAUCAAUCUCUGAACCAGUUGAAUUGGUUGUUGGCAUUUCCCCCUUUUCAUGCUCAUCUUUUUCCUAGUCAUGUUUAUCAUAAAGUUCCAAUUUCAAUCACACUGCAAAUAUAUGUGUCAAUGUAUAUAUAUUCACACACCCAAUAACAUAAACAAGCAUGAAGACCUUAUCAUCAUUGCUAUCUACCUCAGUCUCUGUCUCAGUCCCUCUGCAUAUAAACUUUUGACUUUCUCCUAAACACUAACCUAGAACUGAAGAGAGAGAUAAAUACAAAUAAGUAAAAAUGGCAGAAUUAAAAAAGAAUACACAUUAAUUUAUACAAUUGAAAUUACCAUGAAAUUUGAUUUCUCUGCAAAUUGCGCUAUUUUUGACGAGAACAAGUGGAAGACAUGCUCAAUCCAAUCAAUUAAUAUAUAAACACCCAAAUUAAAACUUGCUUCCUUCGGAGUUGAUAUCGAGAAUUAAAAAGCAAAAUAUUCAAUCCAGUUGACAUACAUCAAACAACAAUAAUAUAUAUAAGAAAACAAGUUAUCAAUAAAUUUAUGAGACAGAGAAAUUAAUGGAUUAUCAUUAAUUUAUAAGACUAAUAAACUUGAUUUCUAGGGCAUGUUUGUAGCAGCCGGUGCCUUUAGCAUAAUUGCGUUCUUUGUCGGCUUUGGAUCCUUUCGCCAUCAACUCUUUUGGCUACAGCGAUUUCUCGCUUUUGUUGCAAGAUGACUCUACUCCUCCUAAAGCCUUCGAUUUGAUGGUUGCUUCUACAAAAACUUUGGUUUAUUUGAGAUUAGGGGCUAGGGUUUCUGAUUUCGUUACUUCGUUGGCCAUCGAUAUAGCCUCAAGUUUUCAAAAUUAGGUAUAGAGUGAAAUAAUAGGGAGGAGAGGGCUGAGGAGGAAGAGGGUUGUGAGUGAGAGGAGAGGAGAGGAGAGGGAGAGGGUUGUGAGAGAAUGGUGAGGUCUCGAAGUUUUCUUUUAAUCCGCUUUUUUCUUUUAAUCCGCUCUGCUACUUCUCUGCUCCUAAGUAAUUUAAAUUGCGC